This is a non-coding RNA of Schizosaccharomyces pombe (fission yeast), 3818 nucleotides long. The record is from the annotation of a GenBank genome assembly. NCBI's taxonomy places the organism in Eukaryota, Fungi, Ascomycota, Schizosaccharomycetes, Schizosaccharomycetales, Schizosaccharomycetaceae.
CAUAAACCUGUGUAAAUGUUUUAUUCCUAUAAACCUUCGUUAAUUAAUUCAAUCGAGAAUUAUUAAUAUCAAAUCAUGAUGUAUAUGUAAAACUACGUUAACAAUGAAUGAACAUUACCGUCAAUAACACUUGGUAAUAAGUUGUGUUACAUACAGAGUAAAUAAAUAUAUGGUGGCCGAAGUUCCUCAAGCCUUAGCUUUGUUUGACCAGAUCCUUUUUUUAACAAUUCCUACACAAUACAAACUUCUUCUCUUCCACAUGGCUGGUAAAAGAAAAAGAGAGCUGACAACACCAAAGAAUGUACCUGAAACAUGAGCGUCAAAAGCAACAUGAAACUUUUUUUCAUAAUUGAGAAGACAAAGAACAUAUUCUGCAAUAAAAUCGAGUGGCAUAAAUAUACCAGCCUUGACGGGAUACACGAAAAAUAGGAAAAACUCUGUGUAGGGAAACAAACAAGCAAAAAUUGCUGCGGUAGCAUAAACAGCUCCAGAUGCUCCAAGUAAUCCAGUAGCCCAACUUUGGGGGACAAACGUAGCGGUACGAAUAAUAGGUCCAUAUUCCGGAUUGCUGCCCAAGUACAAAGCAGGUCUUGAGAUGGGAGGAUAUGGACCUUUUGGAAAAAGCAAGUCCCAUACCUUAGUAGGGCCGUUAGGAAGAGUAGCAAAUGGAUUCUCUUCAUUCAUCAUCCUUUGAAGUGCAACAUAAUUGCCAAAUACGCCGGCACCGAGAUACACGGAUAAAGCUUUCCAGACACCAAAUUUGUAAACGACAAUGCUUAAAAAAGAGUAAAUAGCAACACAAUUUACAAGUAGAUGUGCUAAAUUCUGAUGCGAAAAGAUGCUAACUACCAAUGUCCACCACCGGCCUUCAUACAAAUUGAAUAAAGAAGCUUGCGCAUGGGUCAUCAUAAACCGAAACCGUUUGAAGUCAUGCAAUCUAAUAGCUUCAUCCCUAGCUAAGUCCCAAUGCCAAAAGACAACUCCAUUAACAAGACAAACUAUUACAGCAACCAUAAUUGCCACACGUGGACUGGAUUUAAACUCACCUGGCGGUGGAGAAAGACGGUAGUGAAAUUUUGGGGGUAAUAGAAAUCGUCUAGGUCCUUUUGGUAUCGGACUCCACACUGGCAAAAGAGGGACUUGUGAAUAUACAUUCUUGAGUGGCAAAUGCUCUCGCAAAGGUAGAGAAGGCGAUGAGACGUCAACGGAUGACAAAGAACGAUGGCUACGGGAAAAAAUCACAUAUGGGCGAAAAAUAUUUAAAGAACUAGCUGUUUGGAAAGGUGGGAUUAAAAUUCCCACGCGAUUUGAAGCAUAUUUGAGAGAAUUGAUACCACACAAUAAAGAGCUGGAUGAUAUACACAUUGUAAGAGAACUAAUAGUUUUGGUCAGGAUAAAAACAAAAUCCAGACUUUGGAUUGAGGAAUUGUGUACAACAGCCAAAAAAGGAUUUGAAAACGAAAUGAUAUAAUUUAUUUUACUCGUAGGCUUUUCAGUUUUGAGGAAUUUGCAGGUUUGGAAGUAAGGAUUUUUGAAACUAAAGGCAGAAGCCAAAUGUUUUAAAAUUAUUUUACGUCAAAAAAAAUAAAAGAGGGAUGAUGAAGUUGGAUGGAUGGUAAUGAAAAGUCGUUAAUCAAAUAAAUAAGUAGUAAACACAGAUGUUUCCAAAGGUAACUUUUCUCAAAACAAACUCAAGCAGCACGCGCCGUUAGUGUGAAAUGAAGAACUUAAAACAAAAACGUGUUUGUUACAUUAACUCGUGGUUUAUAACAAGUAAGAUCUUUUUUAUAAGAAUUUGCAAAGAAGUUGGAUUUCCGAGGACGUGAAUAUAUAACAAUGUGCGGAUGGGAUAGCUAGCUAGCUUUCCAACUGGCUUGUCACAGACCUGGGCAACUCAAGUCAGUCAGGGAGGAAGGAACCAAAGACGUCAAUUUCUUCGUUUCAGGUAAGCGUAAAAAGGAAAAAAGGUAUAUAUAAUUAGUUUUUUUAAAAAAAGAAAAAAAAACGUAAAAAAAAUUGAAUGGUUUAUUAAAGACGAAGAGGGUAAACGAAACUAGGAAGUUGAAACAGUCGCAAUCUGUUGCAACCUACUUUCGACGUCAUCAUAAACUCAGAAUUUAAGCUGCGGAAAUGUUACCUCAAAAUUGUGGAGGAUAGGACAAUACUUUACAAGGUGUUACCUCGGUUAAGAACCAAAAAACGAUCAGUAAAAAGACUUCAAAAUGUAAAUAAGUGAGCGGAUUCAUUCACCUAUCAUGGCUUCAAUAGCUACCUUAAUCAUAAGAUCUGGAAGGAGCAGUAUGGAACAAGGUAUGCAAAGAAGAGGUGGCGGUAGCGUGAGACGGACUUGAAGGAGGCUCCAGGGUAGGAAGAGCUUUGACACUGCUUUUAACAGGAUUAAAUGUCUGAUUUGGACUUAUUAAGUUAGAAUUAGUUAUCUUUGGUAAAGCAAGGCCGUACUGUUUAGUAUCGGCCCUUAGUAAUGUGGAGCCGUUGGCGCAAAGUUGUGCACCAAAUGAACUGCCUGGAGAAAAGUAGGAAGGGGCGGGAGGUGCGUUAACAAUCUGUGGUUUACUUGACGGAAAGGUAGUAGGAUACAUUGGAACAAAGGAUGAACUAGGAGAAACCGGAAUGUUGGGCGAAACAGGGAUACCACUGUCGAAUGGAUAAAAGGGUAAAGAAAUUCCAGUAGGAUGAGGAUAAGCAUUAGGAAGAUAAUAUUCCAUGCUUGUGUCAUUAACAGUCGCUGGAGGAAUGGGGACGGACGGGAAAUGAUUAUACAUCACUGAAAGAGGUAGACCUGAACGGGAUGAAGUAGGAGGUUGACGAGCAUCCCAAACAGACACGGGAACGGUCAAGGUACGCUGUCCAUUAGUGUUUUGGAAGCGUGGUGUUGAUAAAAACAUAGGAUUCGAUUCUGUAGGAUAAUUCUGAUUAAAAUCAGGGACGUUGUUGCUAGCAAUUGGUGAAAGAACGUUUUGUAAACGAUUCUUUCUGUUUUCGGAAGGUGGACUUUUAGAAUUGGAGGGAGAAGGAGUUGGAGCAGCAGCGCCUGCUGAUUCUGAAAUAGAAAACCGUCUCAAAGGAUCUUGAUUUUUUUUAUUUAAGGAGCCGGUGGCAUUGGAGGCGGAACGUCUUCUUGGUUUUUCAAUUAGCUUAGAUUGGGCUUGCAAGUCGGUGGGAGACAGCGAGACAGAGGUGGGUUUGGCGUAAGCAACUGAAAGAGCAAGUACAGCGGCUUGAACCGGGUCAGUAAUCGAGCCAUCCUUGCUUUGAUUUUGACUUUUAUCAGCUUCUUGACCUGUAGACUUGUCACCUUCCGGUUUCGAAUCAGGGGCUUUGUGGAGGUUGACAUCCAGUGUCUGCUCCGGAGUAACAAGGGCCUUUCGCAAGUGUGUUCUAACAUGUCUGAUCAAUUCAUCUCUUCUCGUGAAGCGUUUUUUGCAACUUGGAUAGCUGCAUUCGAAAGGCUUUUCACCUGUGUGGCUCCGAAUGUGACGGACUUGGUGUUCUUGACGAUGAAAAACACGCUUGCAAAAGGGGCAUUCGUAACUUUUCAUUUUGCGGGAGAACCAAAAAGCACUUAAAUAAAGACAGAGAAUUUCUUAUAUUCUCAAAUUAAAGGAAAGGUUUACUAGAGGUAAAGAUUAGUAGAGUGGAAAAGGCCGAUUCCAAAUUAAGCACGAAUCAACGGGAAUACACGCGAACCAGCGGAUCAAGCAGGCAAUUGUCGAGAAGGAAGUAGUAAAAAAAAAGAAUUAAGAUUGUGGGGGAAGUAGAUAAACUUUGUAUUAAGAAAGCUUUUAUAGUAUAACAAU